Long non-coding RNA from Eriocheir sinensis (Chinese mitten crab), 331 nucleotides. RefSeq lists it as uncharacterized. The transcript is spliced from 2 exons. Lineage: Eukaryota; Metazoa; Arthropoda; Malacostraca; Decapoda; Varunidae. The record is from RefSeq and is a predicted model, not a curated record.
AAGGUAUUGAAAGAGUAACACAGAAGAAGGUAUUGAAAAGAGUAACACAGAAGAAGGUAUUGAAAAGAGUAACACAGAAGAAGGUAUUGAAAAGAGUAACACAGAAGAAGGUAUUGAAAAGAGUUACACAGAAGAAGGUAUUGAAAAGAGUAACACAGAAGAAGGUAUUGAAAAGAGUUACACAGAAGAAGGUAUUGAAAAGAGUAACACAGAAGAAGGUAUUGAAAAGAGUUACACAGAAGAAGGUAUUGAAAAGAGUAACACAGAAGAAGGUAUUGAAAAGAGUUACACAGAAGAAGGUAUUGAAAAGAGUAACACAGAAGAAGGAAUU